This 294-nucleotide ribosomal RNA is filed under the name uncultured microorganism. Its description in RNAcentral is "partial 16S ribosomal RNA". It matches the Rfam family "Bacterial small subunit ribosomal RNA", at positions 505 to 796 of the family's 1533-position model. The record is from RNAcentral.
GUGCCAGCAGCCGCGGUAAUACGUAGGGGGCAAGCGUUGUCCGGAAUUAUUGGGCGUAAAGCGCGCGCAGGGCGGUCUUUUAAGUCUGAUGUGAAAUCUUGCGGCUCAACCGCAAAGCGGUCAUUGGAAACUGGAAGACUUGAGUGCAGAAGAGGAGAGUGGAAUUCCAUGUGUAGCGGUGAAAUGCGUAGAUAUAUGGAGGAACACCAGUGGCGAAGGCGACUCUCUGGUCUGUAACUGACGCUGAGGCGCGAAAGCGUGGGGAGCAAACAGGAUUAGAUACCCUGGUAGUCC